Molecule: ribosomal RNA, 460 nt
Filed under: uncultured bacterium
Lineage: Bacteria
Description: partial 16S ribosomal RNA
Rfam family: Bacterial small subunit ribosomal RNA
Source: RNAcentral
CCUACGGGAGGCAGCAGUGAGGAAUAUUGGUCCAUGGGCGUAAGCCUGAACCAGCCAAGUCGCGUGAGGGAUGAAGGUUCUAUGGAUCGUAAACCUCUUUUAUAAGGGAAUAAAGUGUGGGACGUGUCCUGUUUUGUAUGUACCUUAUGAAUAAGGAUCGGCUAACUCCGUGCCAGCAGCCGCGGUAAUACGGAGGAUCCGAGCGUUAGCCGGAUUUAUUGGGUUUAAAGGGUGCGUAGGCGGCCUUUUAAGUCAGCGGUGAAAGUCUGUGGCUCAACCAUAGAAUUGCAGUUGAAACUGGGAGGCUUGAGUAUGUGUGAGGCAGGCGGAAUGCGUGGUGUAGCGGUGAAAUGCUGAGAUAUCACGCAGAACCCCGAUUGCGAAGGCAGCCUGCCAAGCCAUGACUGACGCUGAUGCACGAAAGCGUGGGGAUCAAACAGGAUUAGAUACCCCUGUAGUC